RNAcentral lists this ribosomal RNA (781 nucleotides) under uncultured euryarchaeote. Its description in RNAcentral is "bacterial SSU rRNA". It matches the Rfam family "Archaeal small subunit ribosomal RNA", at positions 501 to 1300 of the family's 1478-position model. The record is from RNAcentral. Lineage: Archaea; Methanobacteriati; Methanobacteriota.
UUAUUGGGUCUAAAACAUCCGCAGCUUGCUUGGUAAGUUUCUUGUGAAAUCUUAUGUCUUAAGCAUAGGGCGCGCAAGAAGUACUGCCAGGCUAGAGACCGGGAGAAGUAAGGAGUAUGUUCAGAGUAGCGGUAAAAUGUGUUAAUCCUGAACAGACUAACAAUAGCGAAGGCACCUUACUAGAACGGUUCUGACAGUCAGGGAUGAAGGCUAGGGGCGCAAAACGGAUUAGAUACCCGUGUAGUCCUAGCAGUGAACACUGCACACUAAACCUUGUGAUCUCCUCGAGAGAUUGCAGGGCUGCAGGGAAGCCGAAGAGUGUGCUACCUGGGAAGUAUAGUCGCAAGGCCGAAACUUAAAGGAAUUGGCGGGGAGACACUACAACGGGUGACGCGUGCGGUUCAAUUAGAUUCCACACCGUGAACCUUACCAGGAGCGACAGCAGGAUGAAGGUCAGUCUGAAGGGCUUACCUGACACGCUGAGAGGGGAUGCAUGGCCGACGUCAGCCUGUGCCGUGAGGUGACCUGUUAAAUCAGGUAACAGGCAAGACCCUCAUCUCUAUUUACUAUGUGUACUAUAGAGAGAUUGCCAUUGUAAAAUGGAUGAAAGCGGGGGCUACGUUAGGUGAGUACAUCCCGAAUCCCCUGGGCAACACGCGCGCGUCAAUGGCAGAUACAAUGGGAUGCGACUCUGAAAAGAGAAGCCAAUCUCUUAAAGUCUGUCUCAGUCCAGAUUGAGGUUUGUAACUCAGCCUCAUGACGCUGGAAUCCGUAGUAAUCG